Molecule: small nuclear RNA, 172 nt
Filed under: Pogona vitticeps (central bearded dragon)
Lineage: Eukaryota; Metazoa; Chordata; Lepidosauria; Squamata; Agamidae
Description: U1 spliceosomal RNA (ENSPVIG00000007360.1)
Rfam family: U1 spliceosomal RNA
About the family: U1 is a small nuclear RNA (snRNA) component of the spliceosome (involved in pre-mRNA splicing). Its 5' end forms complementary base pairs with the 5' splice junction, thus defining the 5' donor site of an intron.
Source: RNAcentral
ACUUUUACCUGGCAGGGGAGAUACCAUGAUCAUCAAAGUGGUUUUCCCAGGGUGAGGUUCAUCUAUUGCAGUGGUCCCCAACCUUGGGCCUCCAGAUGUUCUUAGACUACAACUCCCAGAAGCCUUCACCACCACCUCUGCUGGCCAGGAUUUCUGGGAGUUGAAGUCCAAG